AGUGAACGCUGGCGGUAGGCCUAACACACGCAAGUCGAACGGCAGCACAGUAAGAGCUUGCUCUUACGGGUGGCGAGUGGCGGACGGGUGAGGAAUACAUCGGAAUCUACUUUUUCGUGGGGGAUAACGUAGGGAAACUUACGCUAAUACCGCAUACGACCUACGGGUGAAAGCAGGGGAUCUUCGGACCUUGCGCGAUUGAAUGAGCCGAUGUCGGAUUAGCUAGUUGGCGGGGUAAAGGCCCACCAAGGCGACGAUCCGUAGCUGGUCUGAGAGGAUGAUCAGCCACACUGGAACUGAGACACGGUCCAGACUCCUACGGGAGGCAGCAGUGGGGAAUAUUGGACAAUGGGCGCAAGCCUGAUCCAGCCAUACCGCGUGGGUGAAGAAGGCCUUCGGGUUGUAAAGCCCUUUUGUUGGGAAAGAAAAGCAGCAGGUUAAUACCCCGCUGUUCUGACGGUACCCAAAGAAUAAGUACCGGCUAACUUCGUG
Molecule: ribosomal RNA, 492 nt
Filed under: uncultured bacterium
Lineage: Bacteria
Description: partial 16S ribosomal RNA
Rfam family: Bacterial small subunit ribosomal RNA
Source: RNAcentral